CUUUUAUCUUGACUACUUUAUCUCAUAGCUGGUUUAUAUGUUCACAUAGAAGAUCAAAUUUUUGCAUGUUUAUUUGUUGGUUAUAGAAGUAUCUUUUUUAGGAAGCAUCAACAAGGAUAUGAAUACAAUAUGAUACAGAUGCCAAUUUUUUAAAUUUAGGAUAUGAUACUGAUGUCAUGGAUACUUUAUUAAAAAUAUAUAAUGCCAACUUUUUGGAUAAAAUGAAAUCAUGUUGGUUUGGUAUUAUAAUAUAUAAAAUAGUUUUUUUAUAUAAAAGAUAUUUAUUUUAAAUUUAUGGGAAACCAUAAAUUAGUUUGAAUAACACCAAUAAUAACAAUGUUAAGAUUGCAUUCGUCACUUUGACAAUAUUCAUCAAUCAGAAUCCAUUU
Populus euphratica (Euphrates poplar) is the source of this 389-nucleotide long non-coding RNA. RefSeq lists it as uncharacterized. NCBI's taxonomy places the organism in Eukaryota, Viridiplantae, Streptophyta, Magnoliopsida, Malpighiales, Salicaceae. The transcript is spliced from 2 exons. The record is from RefSeq and is a predicted model, not a curated record.